UAUUAAAAUUUUAAUCUGUUUUUACUAUUAAAAGCUGACGUGGUUGACAAAAUAACCAAAUUAUUACACAUGGCAUGCCACGUAUACCUUUAUGAUGAUGUACUUAUAUUAGUUUUUAAUAGUAAAAAUAGAUGGAAUUUUUAACA
This is a non-coding RNA of Gossypium raimondii (Peruvian cotton), 146 nucleotides long. The record is from Rfam. Lineage: Eukaryota; Viridiplantae; Streptophyta; Magnoliopsida; Malvales; Malvaceae.